This is an RNA transcript of Teleopsis dalmanni, 1370 nucleotides long. It is a transcript of the gene named G protein-activated inward rectifier potassium channel 3-like, with no coding region annotated. The record is from RefSeq and is a predicted model, not a curated record. NCBI's taxonomy places the organism in Eukaryota, Metazoa, Arthropoda, Insecta, Diptera, Diopsidae. The transcript is spliced from 4 exons.
GAUUUUCAAUUUUAAUUCCAGAUCUCGAAAUUAUAGACCCGGGAGUAUGCGUAAAGUCCGUCGCCGGGCAGUGUUCAAAAAUGGCGAUUGCAAUGUGUUACAGAAAAAUUUAACCAGGCGACGUUUGCGAUUCCUGCAGGAUAUGUACACAACUCUGGUGGACUCACAAUGGCGUUGGACUUUGUUGGUCUUUGCUUUGAGUUUUAUACUCUCCUGGUUGAUAUUUGCUGUUCUGUGGUGGCUUAUAAUGUAUACACACGGUGAUUUAGAGGAGAUGCACCUACCUGACAAUCAAGAGGAAAGUGGUUGGCAGCCUUGUGUUUCCGCCAUUGAAGGUUUUACGUCCUGUUUUCUGUUCUCAAUCGAAACGCAACACACGAUUGGGUAUGGUGUGCGCACUACUUCGCCUGAAUGUCCCGAGGCAAUAUUUAUGAUGUGCUUCCAGUCUAUUUAUGGUGUAAUGUCUUCAGCCUUUAUGGCUGGCAUUGUCUUCGCUAAAAUGACACGCGCCAAGCAACGCGCACAAACCUUACUCUUCUCAAAAAACGCCGUCAUCUGUCAACGAGAUGGUUUUCUUACUCUAAUGUUUCGUGUGGGUGAUAUGCGGAAAUCGCAUAUUAUAGGAGCAGCGGUGCGUGCUCAGUUGGUGCGCACACGCACUACUAAGGAAGGUGAAGUAAUGACACAAUACUUCACCGAAUUAGAAAUUGGUUCAGAUGAGAGUGGCUCGAGUCUGUUCUUUAUAUGGCCAAUGGUAAUUGAGCAUAAGAUAGACGAGAACUCGCCACUUUAUAAUAUGUCAGCAACAGAUUUGCUGCAAGACAAAUUCGAAAUUGUUGUCUUACUCGAAGGCACCGUGGAGUCAACUGGACAGUCAACACAAGCACGUUCUAGUUAUAUUAAUACGGAAAUACUAUGGGGUCAUCGUUUCGAUCCAGUUGUAGUGUACAAUAAGAAUUUACAGGCUUAUGAGAUUGAUUAUGCACGUUUUAAUGAGACAACACAGGUGGAUACACCAUUGUGCAGUGCCCGCGAACUACAUGAAAUCUAUAAAGUGCAGGAAGGCUUUCGAACGCCAGAGACAACAUUUGCGAUGCGCCAAAUGUCCAUUAAUGCAAGUGACCAUAAUUCCUAAUGUUUAUGUCUCAGUAUACAUGCAACAAUGUCCAGUAUAUCCCUAUCUUGUAUUUGUAUUCCUUCAUGUCAUCUUGUGUUCGUUUUGUAUUGUUUUACAUAUUAGCGUCCAAUAUUUACUUAGUUACAUUGUCGUAAAAUUGUACUUUUGCACUUCAACAUCGAAUCUUCAGCUUCAUCAUCUACCAGCUAUUCCUCUUAUACACGUUUCUACUCCAGCUGACUUAACUCCCAGC